This 65-nucleotide transfer RNA is filed under the name Microcaldota archaeon. RNAcentral's name for it is "tRNA-Thr". It matches the Rfam family "tRNA", at positions 10 to 71 of the family's 71-position model. From Rfam's summary of the family: Transfer RNA (tRNA) molecules are approximately 80 nucleotides in length. Their secondary structure includes four short double-helical elements and three loops (D, anti-codon, and T loops). The record is from RNAcentral. Lineage: Archaea; Nanobdellati; Microcaldota.
GCGUGGAACGGUAGAGUGCCUCUCUUGUAAGGAGGAAGUCGGGGGUUCAAAUCCCUCCGGGGGCU